Molecule: ribosomal RNA, 274 nt
Filed under: uncultured prokaryote
Description: partial 16S ribosomal RNA
Rfam family: Bacterial small subunit ribosomal RNA
Source: RNAcentral
UACGUAGGGUGCAAGCGUUGUCCGGAAUUAUUGGGCGUAAAGGGUGCGUAGGCGGUCUUUCAAGCCAGAAGUGAAAGGCUACGGCUCAACCGUAGUAAGCUUUUGGAACUGUAAGACUUGAGUGCAGGAGAGGAGAGUGGAAUUCCUAGUGUAGCGGUGAAAUGCGUAGAUAUUAGGAGGAACACCAGUAGCGAAGGCGGCUCUCUGGACUGUAACUGACGCUGAGGCACGAAAGCGUGGGGAGCAAACAGGAUUAGAUACCCUGGUAGUCCCU